GAUGAACGCUGGCGGCGUGCCUAAUACAUGCAAGUCGAGCGAACAGACGAGGAUCUUGCUCCUCUGACGUUAGCGGCGGACGGGUGAGUAACACGUGGAUAACCUACCUAUAAGACUGGGAUAACUUCGGGAAACCGGAUCUAAUACCGGAUAAUAUAUUGAACCGCAUGGUUCAUUAGUGAAAGACGGUUUUGCUGUCACUUAUAGAUGUUUCCGCGCCGCAUUAGCUAGUUGGUAAGGUAACGGCUUACCAAGGCAACGAUGCGUAGCCGACCUGAGAGGGUGAUCGGCCACACUGGAACUGAGACACGGUCCAGACUGCUACGGGAGGCAGCAGUAGGGAAUCUUCCGCAAUGGGCGAAAGCCUGACGGAGCAACGCCGCGUGAGUGAUGAAGGUCUUCGGAUCGUAAAACUCUGUUAUUAGGGAAGAACAAAUGUGUAAGUAAAUAUGCACGUCUUGACGGUACCUAAUCAGAAAGCCACGGCUAACUACGUG
RNAcentral lists this ribosomal RNA (497 nucleotides) under uncultured bacterium. RNAcentral's name for it is "partial 16S ribosomal RNA". It matches the Rfam family "Bacterial small subunit ribosomal RNA", at positions 28 to 507 of the family's 1533-position model. The record is from RNAcentral.